RNAcentral lists this ribosomal RNA (253 nucleotides) under uncultured bacterium. RNAcentral describes it as "partial 16S ribosomal RNA". It matches the Rfam family "Bacterial small subunit ribosomal RNA", at positions 524 to 776 of the family's 1533-position model. The record is from RNAcentral.
UACGAAGGGGGCUAGCGUUGCUCGGAAUCACUGGGCGUAAAGCGCACGUAGGCGGACUCUUAAGUCGGUGGUGAAAUCCUGGAGCUCAACUCCAGAACUGCCUUCGAUACUGAGAGUCUCGAGUCCGGGAGAGGUGAGUGGAACUGCGAGUGUAGAGGUGAAAUUCGUAGAUAUUCGCAAGAACACCAGUGGCGAAGGCGGCUCACUGGCCCGGAACUGACGCUGAGAUGCGAAAGCGUGGGGAGCAAACAGG